This 394-nucleotide ribosomal RNA is filed under the name uncultured Anaeromyxobacter sp. RNAcentral describes it as "bacterial SSU rRNA". It matches the Rfam family "Bacterial small subunit ribosomal RNA", at positions 67 to 447 of the family's 1533-position model. Lineage: Bacteria; Pseudomonadati; Myxococcota; Myxococcia; Myxococcales; Anaeromyxobacteraceae. The record is from RNAcentral.
CGAGAAAGCCCGCAAGGGUGAGUAAAGCGGCGCACGGGUGCGUAACACGUGGGUAAUCUGCCCUGGAGUCCGGAAUAACUCGCCGAAAGGCGCGCUAAUGCCGGAUGAGACCACGGGAGCCUCGGCUCCUGCGGGAAAAGGUGGCCUCUGUAUACAAGCUAUCGCUCUAGGAUGAGCCCGCGGCCCACCAGCUCGUUGGCGGGGUAAUGGCCCACCAAGGCUACGACGGGUAGCUGGUCUGAGAGGACGAUCAGCCACACUGGAACUGAGACACGGUCCAGACUCCUACGGGAGGCAGCAGUGGGGAAUCUUGCGCAAUGGGCGAAAGCCUGACGCAGCAACGCCGCGUGUGUGAUGAAGGUCUUCGGAUCGUAAAGCACUGUCGCGAGGGACG